RNAcentral lists this unclassified non-coding RNA (355 nucleotides) under Hevea brasiliensis (rubber tree). The record is from RNAcentral. Lineage: Eukaryota; Viridiplantae; Streptophyta; Magnoliopsida; Malpighiales; Euphorbiaceae.
AUUUUUAACUUUUUAUCCAAUUUAACCCAAACAUUUCAAUUUAAGCUCAAUAUAGCCCAAAAAUUAAAAUUUAUGAGCUAAAUUUCUUUAUUUUUUUAUUUAAAUAAAAAAUCAAGAAUAUCAAUUUCUUGAUUUUGAGACUAAAUUUCUUUAUUUCUUGAUUUAAACCCAAAAAUUAAGAGGUUUAAUUUCUUGAUUUUUUUUAUUUUUGAGUUAAAUUGAGCUUAAAUUAAAAAUUUUGGGCUAAAUUGGACAUAAAGUUGAAAAUGGGCUAAAUCAAACUUUCACAAUAAAUAUAAGGGUGUAAUUGAGCUUUAAGCUAAUUCUAAAUACCUUGUGCCAUGGGUGAGCUUUA